UGUUCCUCCCGGCUUCCCGGUGCCGGCGCGAUUCGUCGGCCUGCUAACGAGCUUCCAAGUGAGGGGCGCUUCGACGGACACCAUACGCUGCCCGCAGUUCACUCCUCCGCCACCUACUCGCUCCUGGUGACGAGGCGUUCCUCCUUGCGGCAGCGCGCUAGGUCGACCUGCUUACGAGCUCCCAAUGGAUGCGCGCUUUGUUGGGUGUUGGCCUACUCGUGAAGUCCCAACGGUGGCUCCCUGCGACCCCCUGCCCCUGGAACUUCUACCUGCAGAGUGUAGUCGGUGGGAAGGAUGUUGUCUGUCGGAUAUAAGCAAAGCAAGGAAGGAGCGGGCCGAGGAAAUUGAUAAGAAGUGUACAAAUAUGCAUCAAACAUUCUGCUUUUCAAAGAGCAACAAAGAAUAUUUUGAUCACUGAAGAAGACCUACGAUGCAGGCCCAAGAUGGAAAGGGUGGCCGUGGGAACUAUUCAGCACGCCGAUCACGCAAUUAUAAUGGUAUAUGCUGAGAAGUUACAUAAUUUUCCAGAAGAUUGACAUGGAUUUGGUUCUAAAUGCACGGACUGGUCUUGAAGCAAGGUCGAUCAAGACACUGUACGAGUGUUACUGUGUCACAAGGUCUAUUGGAUGGCCAUUUAGCUAGAAAAUAUACCAGAGGGGGAGAAACCAUGAAACUGGCGGUUCACAUCAAUUGGAUUUUUCGUGUAAAGGAGCAAACUAUGAAUUGCCAGAUACAUCCUUUAGCUAUCACUUUGUAAACCUCUAUGGUGUCUUAGGCACUGGACCAUAUUGUUUCCUCUAUUUUAGUUACCUUUUAGUAUAUGAGAAGUACUUCUGUACGAGAAUUAAUUAAAAUGUUUGGUUCUGGUUUGAUAA
This is a long non-coding RNA of Lolium rigidum, 875 nucleotides long. RefSeq lists it as uncharacterized. The record is from RefSeq and is a predicted model, not a curated record. The transcript has 5 exons. NCBI's taxonomy places the organism in Eukaryota, Viridiplantae, Streptophyta, Magnoliopsida, Poales, Poaceae.